This 76-nucleotide transfer RNA is filed under the name Caudoviricetes sp. Its description in RNAcentral is "tRNA-Arg". It matches the Rfam family "tRNA". From Rfam's summary of the family: Transfer RNA (tRNA) molecules are approximately 80 nucleotides in length. Their secondary structure includes four short double-helical elements and three loops (D, anti-codon, and T loops). Further hydrogen bonds mediate the characteristic L-shaped molecular structure. tRNAs have two regions of fundamental functional importance: the anti-codon, which is responsible for specific mRNA codon recognition, and the 3' end, to which the tRNAs corresponding amino acid is attached (by aminoacyl-tRNA synthetases). tRNAs cope with the degeneracy of the genetic code in two manners: having more than one tRNA (with a specific anti-codon) for a particular amino acid; and 'wobble' base-pairing, i.e. permitting non-standard base-pairing at the 3rd anti-codon position. The record is from RNAcentral. Lineage: Duplodnaviria; Heunggongvirae; Uroviricota; Caudoviricetes.
AGGAACGUAUUACAAGCGGUAGUAUGACAGCUUUCUGAUGGGGCUGUUGAUCUAGGUUCGAGUCCUAGCGUUCCUA